AUACGUAGGGUGCGAGCGUUGUCCGGAAUUACUGGGCGUAAAGAGCUCGUAGGUGGUUUGUCGCGUCGUCUGUGAAAUUCCGGGGCUUAACUCCGGGCGUGCAGGCGAUACGGGCAUAACUUGAGUACUGUAGGGGAGACUGGAAUUCCUGGUGUAGCGGUGAAAUGCGCAGAUAUCAGGAGGAACACCGGUGGCGAAGGCGGGUCUCUGGGCAGUAACUGACGCUGAGGAGCGAAAGCAUGGGUAGCGAACAGGAUUAGAUACCCUGGUAGCCCAUGCCGUAACCGGUGGGCGCUAGGUGUAGGGGUCUUCCACGACUUCUGUGCCGUAGCUAACGCAUUAAGCGCCCCGCCUGGGGAGUACGGCCGCAAGGCUAAAACUCAAAUGAAUUGACGGGG
This 398-nucleotide ribosomal RNA is filed under the name uncultured bacterium. RNAcentral's name for it is "partial 16S ribosomal RNA". It matches the Rfam family "Bacterial small subunit ribosomal RNA", at positions 523 to 918 of the family's 1533-position model. The record is from RNAcentral.